RNAcentral lists this ribosomal RNA (511 nucleotides) under Ruminococcus sp. CB3. RNAcentral's name for it is "bacterial SSU rRNA". It matches the Rfam family "Bacterial small subunit ribosomal RNA", at positions 8 to 521 of the family's 1533-position model. Lineage: Bacteria; Bacillati; Bacillota; Clostridia; Eubacteriales; Oscillospiraceae. The record is from RNAcentral.
AGAGUUUGAUCCUGGCUCAGGAUGAACGCUGGCGGCGUGCUUAACACAUGCAAGUCGAACGGGAAAUAUUUCAUUGAGACUUCGGUGGAUUUGAUCUAUUUCUAGUGGCGGACGGGUGAGUAACGCGUGGGUAACCUGCCUUAUACAGGGGGAUAACAGUCAGAAAUGGCUGCUAAUACCGCAUAAGCGCACAGAGCUGCAUGGCUCAGUGUGAAAAACUCCGGUGGUAUAAGAUGGACCCGCGUUGGAUUAGCUUGUUGGUGGGGUAACGGCCCACCAAGGCGACGAUCCAUAGCCGGCCUGAGAGGGUGAACGGCCACAUUGGGACUGAGACACGGCCCAGACUCCUACGGGAGGCAGCAGUGGGGAAUAUUGCACAAUGGGGGAAACCCUGAUGCAGCGACGCCGCGUGAAGGAAGAAGUAUCUCGGUAUGUAAACUUCUAUCAGCAGGGAAGAUAGUGACGGUACCUGACUAAGAAGCCCCGGCUACUACGUGCCAGCAGCCGCGGU